This 254-nucleotide ribosomal RNA is filed under the name uncultured bacterium. RNAcentral's name for it is "partial 16S ribosomal RNA". It matches the Rfam family "Bacterial small subunit ribosomal RNA", at positions 524 to 776 of the family's 1533-position model. The record is from RNAcentral.
UACGGGGGGAGCAAGCGUUGUUCGGAUUUACUGGGCGUAAAGGGCGCGUAGGCGGCCAGCGCAAGUCAGUUGUGAAAUCUCCGGGCUUAACUCGGAACGGUCAACUGAUACUGCGCGGCUAGAGUGCAGAAGGGGCAACUGGAAUUCUCGGUGUAGCGGUGAAAUGCGUAGAUAUCGAGAGGAACACCGGUGGCGAAGGCGGCAUCCUGGACCAACACUGACGCUGAGGAGCGAAAGCCAGGGGAGCAAACGGG